UAUAUUCUCCGCCGGGGGGGGAUGAAAACCCCCGACCGGGGUUCGACAACUGGCGCAGCCAGUUGGACAGACCGCGAGCCCGCGAGCGGGCUGCCCCGCAGGGGCGAGCGAAGCGAGUCAAUCCCCCCUCACCGCCA
This 137-nucleotide small RNA is filed under the name Klebsiella quasipneumoniae subsp. similipneumoniae. Its description in RNAcentral is "RtT sRNA". It matches the Rfam family "RtT RNA". From Rfam's summary of the family: This family represents a bacterial cis-regulatory element known as RtT RNA. Lineage: Bacteria; Pseudomonadati; Pseudomonadota; Gammaproteobacteria; Enterobacterales; Enterobacteriaceae. The record is from RNAcentral. RNAcentral also lists the same sequence under 7 other names.